Non-coding RNA from Odocoileus virginianus texanus, 866 nucleotides. Lineage: Eukaryota; Metazoa; Chordata; Mammalia; Artiodactyla; Cervidae. The record is from RefSeq and is a predicted model, not a curated record.
AGCGCGACAGAGUCGGCGCGCUCGGAGCUCUCGCUUCCGCGGAGGCUGCGUCUGGUUCUCGGCGAAGGGCCUAAGAGGUCCAGUCGGCGGAACCCACCAGUCUCUGGGCCCAGAGCCCCCAGAGCCCCACGGCGCCCAGACUGUUUUGCCAACCAUGGCAUCUGGAGAUGACAGUCCUGUCUUUGAAGAUGCCAAAAGCCCUCCUUAAAGCCUGGAAAAUAUGACAGAUCUUGUAGCUGUUUGGAAAGUUGCUUUAAGUGAUCGAGUCCAUAAAAUUGAAUUUGAACAUGGGACUGCAUCAGGCAAAUGAGUGGUGUAUGUAAAUGGGAAGAAAGUGCUAAGAAAAGAAUGGAUGUUCAGCUUGAUAGACAAAGAAACCUUCUGCAUUGGAGCCUCAAAGAUAAAAGCAACCAUAAAUAUUAAACCUUGCUGUGCUUCUAUUUAUGAUUAUACUCUGGAAAUUAAUGGGAAAGUCUCAAGGAGUAUAUAGAGCAGGAAAAAAAUCCACCAAUACUUGGAUAUUACAUUUGAAUAGUAAAGACUUUAGAGUUGUGUUAGGUAAGUGAAAGCCAUUUCUUCAGAAUUUAUUGGCUUUUUAUGAUGGCUAUUUACUUUAGUUCCUGUAACUCUCCAGACCUUUUAUGGGAGCUUUGAAUAGGAGAGUGUUACAUGCAGGUGUAUUUCUCAUGUGUCCUCUGGGAAUGAAGUAUUUGUUGAAUUGAUUUAUUUAUAUGGAAAAUGUGAGAGCCAGAUUUUAUAGUGGUCGAUUUGAAAAUUAUAAACUUGUGUUAGAAAAAUAAAUAUUGAUGUAGACAUUUAAUUUGUCAUUAUUUGAUAUUUCUCUUCAAAGAAUGUCUAAAGGCAGU